RNAcentral lists this ribosomal RNA (511 nucleotides) under uncultured bacterium. RNAcentral's name for it is "bacterial SSU rRNA". It matches the Rfam family "Bacterial small subunit ribosomal RNA", at positions 17 to 518 of the family's 1533-position model. The record is from RNAcentral.
UUCUGGCUCAGGAUGAACGCUAGCGACAGGCUAACACAUGCAAGUCGAGGGGCAGCAUAAAAGUAGCAAUACUUGGUGGCGACCGGCGCACGGGUGAGUAACGCGUAUGCAACCUACCUAUCAGGAGGGGAAUAACCCGGCGAAAGUCGGACUAAUACCGCAUAAAACAGGGGCACCGCAUGGUGAUAUUUGUUAAAUAAAUUCGCUGAUAGAUGGGCAUGCGUUCCAUUAGGUAGUGGUGAGGUAACGGCUCACCAAGCCGACGAUGGAUAGGGGAACUGAGAGGUUGGUCCCCCACACUGGUACUGAGACACGGACCAGACUCCUACGGGAGGCAGCAGUGAGGAAUAUUGGUCAAUGGGCGGGAGCCUGAACCAGCCAAGUCGCGUGGAAAAGGAAGAAGGAUCUAUGGUUACGUAAACUUCUUUUGCAGGGGAAUAAAGUGCAGGACGUGUCCUGUUUUGUAUGUACCCUGAGAAUAAGGAUCGGCUAACUCCGUGCCAGCAGCGGC